This 497-nucleotide ribosomal RNA is filed under the name uncultured bacterium. RNAcentral describes it as "partial 16S ribosomal RNA". It matches the Rfam family "Bacterial small subunit ribosomal RNA", at positions 28 to 507 of the family's 1533-position model. The record is from RNAcentral.
GACGAACGCUGGCGGCGUGCCUAAUACAUGCAAGUUGAGCGCUGAAGGUUGGUACUUGUACCAACUGGAUGAGCAGCGAACGGGUGAGUAACGCGUGGGGAAUCUGCCUUUGAGCGGGGGACAACAUUUGGAAACGAAUGCUAAUACCGCAUAAAAACUUUAAACACAAGUUUUAAGUUUGAAAGAUGCAAUUGCAUCACUCAAAGAUGAUCCCGCGUUGUAUUAGCUAGUUGGUGAGGUAAAGGCUCACCAAGGCGAUGAUACAUAGCCGACCUGAGAGGGUGGUCGGCCACAUUGGGAAUGAGACACGGCCCAAACUCCUACGGGAGGCAGCAGUAGGGAAUCUUCGGCAAUGGACGAAAGUCUGACCGAGCAACGCCGCGGGAGUGAAGAAGGUUGUCGGAUCGUAAAACUCUGUUGGUAGAGAAGAACGUUGGUGAGAGUGGAAAGCUCAUCAAGUGACGGUAACUACCCAGAAAGGGACGGCUAACUACGUG